GGGACAACAGUUAGAAAUGACUGCUAAUACCGCAUAAGCGCACGGGAACGCAUGUUUCUGUGUGAAAAACUCCGGUGGUGUAAGAUGGGCCCGCGUUGGAUUAGGUAGUUGGUGAGGUAACGGCUCACCAAGCCGACGAUCCAUAGCCGACCUGAGAGGGUGACCGGCCACAUUGGGACUGAGACACGGCCCAAACUCCUACGGGAGGCAGCAGUGGGGAAUAUUGCACAAUGGGCGCAAGCCUGAUGCAGCGACGCCGCGUGAGCGAAGAAGUAUUUCGGUAUGUAAAGCUCUAUCAGCAGGGAAGAAAAUGACGGUACCUGACUAAGAAGCUCCGGCUAAAUACGUGCCAGCAGCCGCGGUAAUACGUAUGGAGCAAGCGUUAUCCGGAAUUACUGGGUGUAAAGGGAGCGUAGACGGAUGUGCAAGUCUGAUGUGAAAGGCGGGGGCUCAACCCCUGGACUGCAUUGGAAACUGUAAAUCUUGAGUGCCGGAGAGGUAAGCGGAAUUCCUAGUGUAGCGGUGAAAUGCGUAGAUAUUAGGAGGAACACCAGUGGCGAAGGCGGCUUACUGGACGGUAACUGACGUUGAGGCUCGAAAGCGUGGGGAGCAAACAGGAUUAGAUACCCUGGUAGUCCACGCGGUAAACGAUGAAUACUAGGUGUUGGGGAGCAAAGCUCUUCGGUGCCGCAG
Molecule: ribosomal RNA, 693 nt
Filed under: uncultured bacterium
Lineage: Bacteria
Description: bacterial SSU rRNA
Rfam family: Bacterial small subunit ribosomal RNA
Source: RNAcentral